Magnolia sinica is the source of this 1019-nucleotide long non-coding RNA. RefSeq lists it as uncharacterized. The transcript is spliced from 3 exons. The record is from RefSeq and is a predicted model, not a curated record. Lineage: Eukaryota; Viridiplantae; Streptophyta; Magnoliopsida; Magnoliales; Magnoliaceae.
CCACAGCUGUUUAUCGAAGUCUAGACCACACAUUCAAGCAUUCGAGUUGCCGGACAGACAACCACACUCAAAGUUUUCGUUGUCCUAGAUUGUGACUCGGUGGAAAAUUGUUAGGUGGGACAAACAAUCACACACAACCAACGUUUCCGCUGUGGUAGAUCACUAAAGAACGAUAAAGAAGCAAAAGAUUGUGAUGAAAGUCCAGAUGAACAACGAUUUGAAGAGCCGGACCAAGACCCUGAAAAUUGCAGUCAGCAUACCAGGUACUAUAUCUACUGCGUUGGAGGAGCAGACAUAAGGACCAACUUGUUGUGGUCGGUGAGGGAGUUGAUGCGGUCGAGUUGAUAAGUCUGCUUAGAAAGAAGACGGGAUACACAGAUCUCAUUAGCAUCGAAGACGUCCAUGAGAAUAUAGAGAAGAAGGACGAAGAAGGCGGGGGCGAGAAGAAAGACAAAGCAGGUGGUGGCAGCAAGAAGAAGGACAAGCCAGACGAUUGUGAGAAGAAGGACAAAGAAGGCGGCGGCAGAGCUGGCGAGAAGAAUGACAAGGCGAGCGGAGAACUGAGAAAGAUGGGGGCGAACAAAGUGUACGGCGGCUGGUUUAUGUAUGGGCCUGAUACAUGUGCGGAGGCUGUCCCAGACAAACCAAAACUACAAGAAUGGCUGCUGACGGCGGCCCAUUAAGAAGAAGAAAAACUUCCACUGGGCUCGCCUUCAUAGUGUCCGUAUGCCAUUCAAUAUAGCAGCUGGAGCAGGGACGAUGACAAUCCAUCUCUGCGAGUGGGCCUACAGGUUCUCUCCAUCUCUUGUGGUGGUUUGGUUGUAGCUUGGAUGUGGUGGGAAGUAGUGGGACAUUGAUAUCCGUUUUCGAGCCUUUUUAUUUAUUUAUUUAUUGAGACUGCCAUGUAAGGAUACGGAUAAAGCUGAUAUUCGUGUUUUCCCUUCAUCCAUUCGGGUGUGUGUGACCUAUUCAACAGAUUGGAUGGUAAAUGACCAUUAGGGGUCGCUUGACACCGUAGA